This 780-nucleotide ribosomal RNA is filed under the name Ilisha amazonica (Amazon ilisha). Its description in RNAcentral is "partial 16S ribosomal RNA". The stretch from base 1 to 518 matches the Rfam family "Bacterial large subunit ribosomal RNA", at positions 582 to 1301 of the family's 2925-position model. The record is from RNAcentral. Lineage: Eukaryota; Metazoa; Chordata; Actinopteri; Clupeiformes; Pristigasteridae.
AUAAAAAAGCAGAGACUAAAACUCGUACCUUUUGCAUCAUGAUCUAGCCAGUACACCCAAGCAAAGAGAACUCUAGUUUGAAGCCCCGAAACCUUUAACGAGCUACCCCAAGGCCGUCCAAAACAGGACAAACCCGUCUCUGUGGCAAAAGAGUGGGAAGACCUUUAGGUAGAGGUGAAAAGCCUACCGAGUCAGGUUAUAGCUGGUUGCCCAAAAAAUGAAUAGUAGUUCAGCCCCAUAACUUCACCCACGCCAACCACACCACAACAGGCAAAGGGCCACACAUGGGAGUUAGUUAAGGGGGGUACAGCCCCCUAAACAAAGGACACAACCUCAAGCAGGAGGCUAAGGAAUAUACUACACAACAAGGCUUAAAGUUUCAGUAGGCCUAAAAGCAGCCACCUAAAAAGAGAGCGUUAAAGCUUAAACCUAACCAAGCCUAACAUCACAUUAAACCCUCCAACGCCCCUUCACAAUAUUGAGCCAUUUUAUGCCACCAUAAAAGAGACCAUGCUAGAACAAGUAAUAAGAAGAACGAACUUCUCCCCGCACACGUGUAAGUCGAACCGGACAAACCACCGACAAUUAACGAACCCAAAAACAGAGGGCCCAACACAACCACCACUAAAAUCAAGAAAACCACGUCUCCCCUGAUCGUUACCCCUACACAGGAGUGCCCCCACCCGAAGGAAAGGCCUAAAGGACAAAAAGGAACUCGGCAAACCAAAACCCCGCCUGUUUACCAAAAACAUCGCCUCCUGCCACCAACCGUAUAGGAGG